AUUGAACGCUGGCGGCAUGCCUUACACAUGCAAGUCGAACGGCAGCACGGGAGCAAUCCUGGUGGCGAGUGGCGAACGGGUGAGUAAAGUAUCGGAACGUGCCCAGUCGUGGGGGAUAACGUAGCGAAAGUUACGCUAAUACCGCAUACGAUCUAUGGAUGAAAGCGGGGGAUCGCACGACCUCGCGCGAUUGGAGCGGCCGAUAUCAGAUUAGGUAGUUGGUGGGGUAAAGGCUCACCAAGCCGACGAUCUGUAGCUGGUCUGAGAGGACGACCAGCCACACUGGGACUGAGACACGGCCCAGACUCCUACGGGAGGCGGCAGUGGGGAAUUUUGGACAAUGGGCGAAAGCCUGAUCCAGCCAUGCCGCGUGCAGGAUGAAGGCCUUCGGGUUGUAAACUGCUUUUGUACGGAACGAAAAGGUUUGGCCUAAUAAGCUGAGCUCAUGACGGUACCGUAAGAAUAAGCACCGGCUAACUACGUGCCAGCCGCCGCGGUAA
Molecule: ribosomal RNA, 500 nt
Filed under: uncultured bacterium
Lineage: Bacteria
Description: partial 16S ribosomal RNA
Rfam family: Bacterial small subunit ribosomal RNA
Source: RNAcentral